This 136-nucleotide ribosomal RNA is filed under the name uncultured Pseudomonas sp. RNAcentral's name for it is "partial 16S ribosomal RNA". It matches the Rfam family "Bacterial small subunit ribosomal RNA", at positions 338 to 468 of the family's 1533-position model. The record is from RNAcentral. Lineage: Bacteria; Pseudomonadati; Pseudomonadota; Gammaproteobacteria; Pseudomonadales; Pseudomonadaceae.
CCUACGGGAGGCAGCAGUGGGGAAUAUUGGACAAUGGGCGAAAGCCUGAUCCAGCCAUGCCGCGUGUGUGAAGAAGGUCUUCGGAUUGUAGAGCACUUUAAGUUGGGAGGAAGGGCAGUCCCUAACACGUAAUUGU